This 68-nucleotide transfer RNA is filed under the name Hoplistodera incisa. Its description in RNAcentral is "tRNA-Glu". It matches the Rfam family "tRNA". Rfam says of the family: Transfer RNA (tRNA) molecules are approximately 80 nucleotides in length. Their secondary structure includes four short double-helical elements and three loops (D, anti-codon, and T loops). The record is from RNAcentral. Lineage: Eukaryota; Metazoa; Arthropoda; Insecta; Hemiptera; Pentatomidae.
AUUUAUGUAGUUUAAUAAAAAACCUCUUAUUUUCAAUAAGGAAAUAAGAAUUUAAUUCUUCAUAAAUA